CCUACGGGAGGCAGCAGUGAGGAAUAUUGGUCAAUGGGAGAGAUCCUGAACCAGCCAAGCCGCGUGAGGGAAGACGGCCCUAUGGGUUGUAAACCUCUUUUGUCGGAGAACAAAACCCGGGACGUGUCCCGGACUGCGUGUAUCCGAAGAAAAAGCAUCGGCAAACUCCGUGCCAGCAGCCGCGGUAAUACGGAGGAUGCGAGCGUUUUCCGGAUUUAUUGGGGUUAAAGGGUGCGUAGGCGGGCCGUUAAGUCAGCGGGAAAAUUGCGGGGCUCAACCCCGUCGAGCCGUUGAAACUGGCAGACUUGAGUUGGCGAGAAGUACGCGGAAUGCGCGGUGUAGCGGUGAAAUGCAUAGAUAUCGCGCAGAACUCCGAUUGCGAAGGCAGCGUACCGGCGCCAGACUGACGCUGAGGCACGAAAGCGUGGGGAUCGAACAGGAUUAGAUACCCUGGUAGUC
RNAcentral lists this ribosomal RNA (459 nucleotides) under uncultured bacterium. Its description in RNAcentral is "partial 16S ribosomal RNA". It matches the Rfam family "Bacterial small subunit ribosomal RNA", at positions 338 to 795 of the family's 1533-position model. The record is from RNAcentral.